This 387-nucleotide ribosomal RNA is filed under the name Triticum aestivum (bread wheat). RNAcentral describes it as "partial small subunit ribosomal RNA". The record is from RNAcentral. Lineage: Eukaryota; Viridiplantae; Streptophyta; Magnoliopsida; Poales; Poaceae.
AUGCAUCAGGCAAGGUGGCUCCUCAAGCUCCUCGAACACCGGCUGGCGACACCAGUCGGCAUCAGCAGUCGAAUGACAACAAGCGCAAGGCCACGGCCGGCUUCCACAAGCCGGCAGGUGGCGACAGUUGAAGAUCAACAGCCAGAAGGGCAGCCUCCACCCAAGCGUCAGAAGGGCGGCAAGCCCAACUGGCUGCCGGCUUUCUCAUACGAGCAGACUCUCGAUGCACCCUGCAAGUUCCAUAGCGGCGCAAAGCCAUCCAACCACACCACUCGGAAAUGCCACUGGCUCACCAGGAUCGCCAAGGGUGAUGGACUCCUGCCUCCUCCGCCUGUCGGCCCGCCGCCUCCUCCCCCCCCCCCCAGCAGCCGGCGGCUCGGCCUGUAG